AAGUCUUGCAUCGUGGCAGA
This 20-nucleotide microRNA is filed under the name Ciona intestinalis (vase tunicate). RNAcentral's name for it is "cin-miR-4144-3p". The record is from miRBase by way of RNAcentral. Lineage: Eukaryota; Metazoa; Chordata; Ascidiacea; Phlebobranchia; Cionidae.